GCCUCAGCUCCGUCCCGUCAGCACCAGCCAGCCAACCUGAAAAUAUUUGAAAGUAUUUUUGGGCUAAGUACUAAUGUACUUAGUGGGCAUGCAUUUUCAUAAACAUUUCAUAUUUUCGUAAGAGCAGUUUAUCCAAUCAUACUUGACAUGACUUAGAAGGUUUUAAAUUGAAAGAACUUCUAAGCAUGUUAAAACAUUUUUCAUUUGUGCGCACAUGUCACACUCCCUUUCUGUUACUCGCUGUGAUCCCGGACCUUUUAGCCACCGACGGAUCCAUUACUCCUGCUUUACUUGGACUGAGGGCGUAACCCAGCAAGUUCCCAUUUGGGACCCAAUGCUCCGGAACACAUCCCGUCGAGCACCCUUAUAACGCCUCAUACAUGAUUAGUGCCCGAAUGGAGAUCAACCCACCGAGUCAGCUAAUAGGUGUACACAAUUCUCAAACAACGUGUUAGGUCAUAAGAGAACCUCGAUCGAUUAACUUAUGCGAGCCUUAAACAGAGCAGAGUGCACAAAAUAUUUUAUUGGAUAAACAGUUUUCAUUACAUUAAAUAAACAAUUUGCAUUUCAUUGAAACAUUUAGAGCUUAAUAACUCAAUCAUACUUUGUACAUUUGGAAAGUAAGCCCACCUGGAUAGGCAAAGCCUGAAGAUCAUACACAUAUAAACCUGUCUUGGAAAAGUAGCGCUAAUCCUCCUGGUCAUCACAAAGCCUACAAGAAAUUCUAUUCUUAAUAGGUCUCGUGAAACUAACUUAAUAUUUGGGAAAUACUUAACAUUCUAUAAUUGUCACGCCGGGUUUCAAAAUUUAAUGAAUAAAUACUUGAAAACUAAAUUUUCUUGAGUUAAGGACACCAACAAUAUCCUUACUCGAUUUUCUUUUAGUUGUUUUAGGGUUCUAGCAUCCAUAAUUCGUUCCAUUAAAGACAAUCGAAAACCAACAUAACCUCGUGACUAACCACAUAAUAUCACGUAAUCACGUAAACAAUAAAAGAAAGAAAUAAAAUCCUCAAGUUUAGUAUCAUUAAAAUCACAAGUUCACAUGAACAUAAAAGAAAUCAUGCACCAUUUUUAUAACAUUCUAUACAUUUCAAUUUUUUUUUAUGUAAAUAAAUAAGAAAUUCCAUUAUUCAUUUAUAAAUAAUAAAACAUUUAAAAAUCCAUUGAGAUGAAAUAAAACAUUUUAACCAUUUAAAAUCCAUACUCAAAAAGCCUUGAAAUAUUAUAAAAAUGAGGGUUUAAUCCCAAAAUUUGUUUUCAUUUUUUAAAGUCCAUCAAUAAAUUAAAUAAAAGAACGGACCUCAUUUAAAAUAAAUAGUCCCAACCUUAAAUAUUAAAAUUUAAAUCAAGAGAUUUAAAUUCACUAAAAUAAUUUAGUGAAAAUUCAAACACAUAGGCAACACAAUCACAUAAGGCACAUAAGAAUCACAAUCAAACAUCAUAAAACAUGCUCUGUUUUUACACUGUCAACUUAAAAUUUAACUGUUCUGACUCGACAUCUCCUGGACUCGAGACUCAUACCAAAAGAAAGUCUUCGAGUCUAGUUUCAUAUAAAAAAAAGUAGAGCAAACUCCAAGUGGUUUGGAGAUAUGACGUUUUUACCACGUCUACCAUAUUCUGGCAGUUUUGGCAACGAAUAUUUUUGAAAAAUAGUAAACGUUGUCAAACUGGGCUCAAUUUGGUGGAUAUCUAGCUAACACAAUAAGGUUAUACCAUAAAAAUUGGAAAGCUAGAUCACAAGGAAGCUACUGAAAUGAAUGAUCUUCCCCUGUUCUCUGAAAUUCUCGGUAUAAUGUGCAGUUUGGUUUUGUCAUUUUAAAAAUAAAACGAAGUAAUCUUGAAAUUUUACCGGUACUCAAGACUCAUGUAGAUUGCUAUAAAAUUUUCAAAGCUAUUAGACAUCGAAAACCUCGAUCACAGUAGGUCAGUAGGCCUACGAAAUUCACCAAAAUCUCAUCUCAAAUUCUUUAAAUGCUCAAGAUUAUAUACUUAACUAAUUUCACACAAUUAACACAUAGAUCUAUUAAUAACCCUAGUUUUUAUUAAACUAAAUCUUUUGAAAAUAUCACUAAUCAUGUAUAACCUAUUGAUCAAAUCAUAGAUCUAACAACCUAGUUACCAAUUAGCACAAAUCAACAUCAUAAAACAAGAUCACAUAUAGAUACACAUGUAUGUCAUCUUCUUCCUCAAACUAACACUUUUCAUUUUUCACUUCUCAAUCUCAAGCUUCAAUCUCAUCCAUCAUUAAUCAUCUAGAUCAUCUCAUAAACUCAAAUCCAUCAUCAAUACAUCAAUUUAUCCAUAGGAUCUCAACAUCCCAAUUUUAGGUAAACUAACCUAAUAGAAAAAUCUAUAUCUCAUGGCUUAAUCAUCAAGAUAUUCAUAUAUAUACCCAAUAAUCAUCAAUCAUCAUAUAACUCAAGCAAUUCAAGAAAAAAACAACAAAAUUUCGUAGGGUUCAAGCCCCAAUUUUCGAAAAUUUCAUGAAAUAAGUUGGGUGAUUUUCUUGCUCAAUCAUGAUCAUAUACUCACAUAUAACAUCAUACAAUCUAGAUCUAUAAAAUAAGAUCACUUACCCAAGAUUAAACAAAGAUCAAAGUUUUCCUUUUUCUAAAUCUUCAAGAGUAAGCUCCACGGUUCUCUUGGAAUUUCAAGAAUUGUAAGGUGUUUAAGUUUGAUUUGGUGGAG
Molecule: long non-coding RNA, 2687 nt
Filed under: Salvia miltiorrhiza (redroot sage)
Lineage: Eukaryota; Viridiplantae; Streptophyta; Magnoliopsida; Lamiales; Lamiaceae
Description: long non-coding RNA (SMIL_LNC000644)
Source: RNAcentral